UACGGGAGGCAGCAGUGGGGGAUAUUGCACAAUGGAGGAAACUCUGAUGCAGCGACGCCGCGUGAGUGAAGAAGUAUUUCGGUAUGUAAAGCUCUAUCAGCAGGGAAGAAAGGCCGCGUAAGCGGAGAUGACGGUACCUGACUAAGAAGCCCCGGCUAACUACGUGCCAGCAGCCGCGGUAAU
This 183-nucleotide ribosomal RNA is filed under the name uncultured rumen bacterium. RNAcentral describes it as "partial 16S ribosomal RNA". It matches the Rfam family "Bacterial small subunit ribosomal RNA", at positions 340 to 524 of the family's 1533-position model. The record is from RNAcentral.